Molecule: long non-coding RNA, 438 nt
Organism: Mastomys coucha (southern multimammate mouse)
Lineage: Eukaryota; Metazoa; Chordata; Mammalia; Rodentia; Muridae
Exons: 2
Source: RefSeq, a predicted model, not a curated record
GAAGGAAGUGAGAGGUCACAUGGGAGAAGUGAAUGGAGACUUGGGAGGGGUGAGUGAGGACAGGAAGGUGACCUUCAGUGCUGUUCUGCAGCAGACAGGGAUGUGUUCCCUGACUGAAGAGGAAAGUUGGAGCUGGAGGUCCUGAACAAUGCCUUCCUGUUAGUGAGCAUGAGCCAACAGACUUCUUCAAUUAUGAUUUGGAUUCAUGUGUAAACUUGGGGUGAACUUUUGACCAUGUGAUCAUGUAUUUGGAAAGACAUAUAAAUGCUGAGGACAAAGAGAGAAGAAGAGGGAGGAGGAGGAAGAGGAGGAGAAGAAAGAGAAGAGGAAGAAGAGGAAGAGGAGGAAGAGGAGGAAGAGAAAGAGGAGGAAGAGGAAGAUGAAGGAAGAGGAGGGUCAGACAUUUUUGGGGAAGAACUUAGACAUAAAGAUUAAAAU